RNAcentral lists this unclassified non-coding RNA (514 nucleotides) under Hevea brasiliensis (rubber tree). The record is from RNAcentral. Lineage: Eukaryota; Viridiplantae; Streptophyta; Magnoliopsida; Malpighiales; Euphorbiaceae.
UUGCUAAUGGUCUUAUAGACUCUGCAUGGGAUUUUAUUGCGAGAAAAUCUGUGCUGCCUCUUCAACCUCCAUCAGAUCCAAUCGCACAGGAUAACAUAAAACGAUUUGGUGGGGAGAAUGAAGUUCAAGGCCUGUCAGAAGUUAAUGGGAGGUUUGUUCCCAGCAAAAAGGUGGUUGAAUUGAGGAAAAAAUUAAUCAAGUUUAUGGAAGAUCACAUUUACCCGAUGGAAAAUGAGUUCUACAAGCUUGCCCAGUCUUCAUCACGUUGGACAGUGCACCCAGGGGAGGAGAGGCUGAAGGAACUGGCAAAGAAAGAAGGGCUAUGGAACUUAUGGAUACCUUUUGAUAGUGCUGAAAGAGCAAGAAAACUGAUCUUUGAUGGAAUAAGUUAUGCUGUCUCCAAUGAUGCCCAUGAUCAAUUACUUGGUGCAGGCCUCUCAAACCUUGAAUAUGGAUACCUUUGUGAGAUCAUGGGUCGUUCGGUUUGGGCUCCACAGGUGUUCAAUUGUGGUGC